RNAcentral lists this ribosomal RNA (537 nucleotides) under Dohrniphora carrilloensis. RNAcentral describes it as "partial 16S ribosomal RNA". It matches the Rfam family "Bacterial large subunit ribosomal RNA", at positions 1805 to 2613 of the family's 2925-position model. The record is from RNAcentral. Lineage: Eukaryota; Metazoa; Arthropoda; Insecta; Diptera; Phoridae.
UAUCAAAAACAUGUCUUUUUGAAAUUAAUUUGAGGUUUGACCUGCCCACUGAGAAUUUAAAUGGCCGCAGUAUUUUAACUGUGCAAAGGUAGCAUAAUCAUUAGUCUUUUAAUUGAAGGCUGGAAUGAAUGGUUGGAUGAAAUAUUGACUGUUUCAAUUUAAUUUAUAUUGAAAUUUAUUUUUUAGUUAAAAAGCUAAAAUUAUUUUAAAAGACGAGAAGACCCUAUAAAUCUUUAUAUUUUUACUUAUUAUUAAUAUUUAGAAAAAUAGAUUUUUAUUAGGUAUAAGUAUUUUAUUGGGGUGAUAUUGAAACUUAAUAAACUUUUAAUUUAUAGAAGCCAUUGAUUAUUGACUUAUUGAUCCAUUAUAAUGAUUAAAAAAUUAAGUUACUUUAGGGAUAACAGCGUAAUUUUUUUGAAGAGUUCACAUUGAUAAAAAAGAUUGCGACCUCGAUGUUGGAUUAAGAUAUAAGUUUAGGUGUAGAAGUUUAAAUUUAAAGUCUGUUCGACUUAUUAUUUCUUACAUGAUCUGAGUUCA